Molecule: microRNA precursor, 78 nt
Filed under: Lepisosteus oculatus (spotted gar)
Lineage: Eukaryota; Metazoa; Chordata; Actinopteri; Semionotiformes; Lepisosteidae
Description: miRNA (ENSLOCG00000019004.1)
Source: RNAcentral
GCUUUCCGCCCUGCUGGAAACAUUGCCUGAGAUGAGAAAGAGACAAUUUCAGUCAUUGUUUCUGGUAGUGCGAGCAGC